GCGGUUGUGGCGGAACGGCAGACGCGCUAGCCUCAGGAGCUAGUGUCCUUUAGGACGUGUGGGUUCAAAUCCCAUCAACCGCACCA
RNAcentral lists this transfer RNA (86 nucleotides) under Acholeplasmataceae bacterium. RNAcentral describes it as "tRNA-Leu". It matches the Rfam family "tRNA". From Rfam's summary of the family: Transfer RNA (tRNA) molecules are approximately 80 nucleotides in length. Their secondary structure includes four short double-helical elements and three loops (D, anti-codon, and T loops). Further hydrogen bonds mediate the characteristic L-shaped molecular structure. tRNAs have two regions of fundamental functional importance: the anti-codon, which is responsible for specific mRNA codon recognition, and the 3' end, to which the tRNAs corresponding amino acid is attached (by aminoacyl-tRNA synthetases). tRNAs cope with the degeneracy of the genetic code in two manners: having more than one tRNA (with a specific anti-codon) for a particular amino acid; and 'wobble' base-pairing, i.e. permitting non-standard base-pairing at the 3rd anti-codon position. Lineage: Bacteria; Bacillati; Mycoplasmatota; Mollicutes; Acholeplasmatales; Acholeplasmataceae. The record is from RNAcentral. RNAcentral also lists the same sequence under 1 other name.